UUCUUUAGGCAAAUCCGGGAACACAAUCCUGUAGUACGCGAUGUACGAGCCCCUUUUAGGGGCGUAAGUGACUGAUGCCAUACUUCCAGGAAAAGCCUCUAAGCUUCAGGUAACAAGCGACCGUACCGUAAACCGACACAGGUAGGUGAGGAGAGAAUCCUAAGGCGCUUGAGAGAACUCGGGUGAAGGAACUAGGCAAAUUGGUACCGUAACUUCGGGAGAAGGUACGCCCUUGUUGGUGAUGGACUUCGCGUCCUGAGCUGAUGGGGGCCUCAGAAACCAGGUGGCUGCGACUGUUUACUAAAAACACAGCACUCUGCUAACUCGCAAGAGGAUGUAUAGGGUGUGACGCCUGCCCGGUGCCGGAAGGUUAAUUGAUGGGGUUAGCUUCGGCGAAGCUCUUGAUCGAAGCCCCGGUAAACGGCGGCCGUAACUAUAACGGUCCUAAGGUAGCGAAAUUCCUUGUCGGGUAAGUUCCGACCUGCACGAAUGGCGUAACGAUGGCCACACUGUCUCCACCCGAGACUCAGUGAAAUUGAAAUCGCUGUGAAGAUGCAGUGUACCCGCGGCUAGACGGAAAGACCCCGUGAACCUUUACUACAGCUUUACACUGAAUUUUGAACCUGUUUGUGUAGGAUAGGUGGGAGGCUUUGAAGCGGUCACGCCAGUGAUCGUGGAGCCAACCUUGAAAUACCACCCUGGCAUGUUUGAAGUUCUAACCCAGGCCCGUUAUCCGGGUCGGGGACAGUGUAUGGUGGGUAGUUUGACUGGGGCGGUCUCCUCCCAAAGAGUAACGGAGGAGCACAAAGGUACCCUCAGCGCGGUCGGACAUCGCGCAUUGAGUGCAAAGGCACAAGGGUGCUUGACUGCGAGACAUACACGUCGAGCAGGGACGAAAGUCGGUCUUAGUGAUCCGGUGGUUCUGUAUGGAAGGGCCAUCGCUCAACGGAUAAAAGGUACUCCGGGGAUAACAGGCUGAUUCCUCCCAAGAGUCCACAUCGACGGAGGAGUUUGGCACCUCGAUGUCGGCUCAUCACAUCCUGGGGCUGUAGCAGGUCCCAAGGGUAUGGCUGUUCGCCAUUUAAAGUGGUACGCGAGCUGGGUUUAGAACGUCGUGAGACAGUUAGACAUUAAAUGAGCUGUCUAUAAAUUUGGCUAUAUGCUGGAAAACCUGAUUAGUAUCCCACGCUACUCACAUGUGUUUUGCCUUCAGAGG
RNAcentral lists this ribosomal RNA (1216 nucleotides) under marine metagenome. Its description in RNAcentral is "bacterial LSU rRNA". It matches the Rfam family "Bacterial large subunit ribosomal RNA", at positions 1529 to 2925 of the family's 2925-position model. The record is from RNAcentral.